This 310-nucleotide unclassified non-coding RNA is filed under the name plant metagenome. RNAcentral describes it as "partial contains 5.8S ribosomal RNA, internal transcribed spacer 2, and large subunit ribosomal RNA". The stretch from base 1 to 103 matches the Rfam family "5.8S ribosomal RNA", at positions 52 to 154 of the family's 154-position model. The record is from RNAcentral.
AAUGCGAUAAGUAAUGUGCAUUGCAGAAUUCCGUGAAUCAUCGAAUCUUUGAACGCACAUUGCGCCCUCUGGCAUUCCGGGGGGCAUGCCUGUCCGAGCGUCAUUACGCACCCUCAAGCCCGGCUUGUGUGAUGGGCCCCGGCGUCUCGUUCGCGAGACGGGCCCGAAAGGCAGCGGCGGCGUCGACCCGAUGAGCCCGAGCGUAUGGGGACUUCUGUCACACGUUCGCGGUGCGGACCGGCGCCUGCUUGACUUUUCUGAUUAUCCAGGUUGACCUCGGAUCAGGUAGGGAUACCCGCUGAACUUAAGC